Long non-coding RNA from Wasmannia auropunctata (little fire ant), 2578 nucleotides. RefSeq lists it as uncharacterized. The record is from RefSeq and is a predicted model, not a curated record. The transcript has 2 exons. Lineage: Eukaryota; Metazoa; Arthropoda; Insecta; Hymenoptera; Formicidae.
UUGUAUAAAAUAAUAUAAUUAUAUGGAUAAAUUAUACUGCUUUUAGAUCUAAAAUUUUACAGAUAAAUAGUUAUAUAUAUGUGUUUUCUUAAUACUGACAGUUUAUAAGUUAUACACGAUUUAGCAUAUAAAUUAAUUUCUUCGUUUUAUGUAUCGACGUAUUAUUAUAUAAGUAGAUACAUAAUAGUUUAUUGAGGUGCAAAACGGUGCGAAAUAAAUAUGCGCCAAGAAAAAAAAUAUCUACUAGUAUUUGCCAGUAUUUCUCUCGAUGCAUAGAUAUAAAUAUUCGAAUUUCUUAGAAAUUUUCCGUAUAACGUACAUAGUACGAUAUAUCGUUGUACGUGACCGACAGUGCAGUGGCAGAGGAGUACGCGAUCUCGAAAAAAACUUGCCGGCUACCGUCGUCAUCUGCAUACACAGUAAACACGAGGUUGACAAAACGAGAAAAAAAAGGUAUUAGCUUAUAGUGCAGUGUUUCUCAACGUUUUUUCAGUUCAUAACCUUCUUUCGGCCUUCUUACAUUCUAUCUUUACCUAACUGAUUGACCUUCGUCUCAUCUUUCCCUGCAUUUUUAUCUUCCUUUACGGAUGCAAACAAAAACUAAUAUCAAUUAUGGCUGGUGGAAAAUUGAAUGAUCUACUUAGAAAUUUUGUGUGUCCCAUUUAGAGCUUCUGACUACCACGAACAUUUAGAGUAAUGACAUCAGAAGCGAAAAAACAUAUAGUUCUUGCAAAAGAUAUUAAAAUAGAGAUAUUCUAUAGAGAGAUAGAGAGAUCGAAAUAGAGAGUUUUUCAAUAAAACAUACAACAUUUGCAUUUGAUAGAGUGCACUUGUAAAAUAUACCAAAAACUUCUCUUGUUCAAAUCAAUAAAUAACCAUGUAUUUGAAAAUGAAUUAUUUGCCCAACCAAUGCCAAAACAAAACCUAUACAACAGCUGUCAAAGUGAGAUAAAUAUAAUUUUAUUCUAUUCCGAGAUAAAAGAAGAGUUAGUUAUUAUGGCGUUCCCAAGUGGCAUGCGAUCGCCACUUAAAUUCUCAUCACGAAUGCGAUUACGUGGACGGCGCAGCCUCAGUUGCUCACAAUAAUUGAUGCAUGCAAAGUUAAUGCGAGUUCUUAGACUAGGUAAAUAAUAAUCAUAAAAUGUGUAUCGGAUAUUAUUGUGAAUAUCUGCUCGUGUUACACACAUAAGUAUAGGUAUCGAUUUAACAUCGUAAUGACACGAUAAGAGAUUUAUAUUACAAUUAAGCUUCAAAUAAGUCACGCUACAGAGGAUUUUGCAGAAUUCAUAUACAAGUACGUUCCAUAUGCGACGCGCUUGCGUACGCAAAUUGGUUGCCAAUUUUCGUAUUUUCGUGAUUACGUGUCUACGUAAAAUUAUCUCAUCUUCAGUGUUACUGGAACUUUGGCCCGAGUUAGUGAGACUUCGACCCAGACUUUGGCCAGACCUUCCGGGAAUUCCGUCUAUGAAUAAAAUGAAAGUUGGGAUGGGAACUUCAAAAUUUUUUCGAUGCGCAUUUCUCUCACUGAACCUCGCAAUGAACGAGUAUGUAAAUACAUCGAGAAAUCAGCGAUUCAGAUAUAGAAAUGUUGAAGUCGGUAGAAAUCAUGUUUCUUACGAAGGAAUCGGAAUACGGUCAGUCAACGGUUGCUGGCAGGCUGACUUGGGAUUUCGCGUCGCUUGUCCGGCAAAGUAAAUUUAGAUCGCUGUACGCUCGGUUUCGCGAAAAUACGCCUUUCCGCUAGCGGAAGGAAGGAAAAAGCGAUGGAGCGUAGUGAUUUAAAAAUGAGAAAAUGUAAUCGAGAGUAUUUUUUUUUUAAUGGGAUCGUAAGAAUCUUAAAUUUUGUCAGAUAUUAUUAAAGUAAAUCUUGAUUUUGCGAAUCUUUAUAUAUUUAUCUUUAUUCAUUAUUUUCGCAAUCUUUUGAUUUUCAUUAGUUAUGUAGUAGGAUGAGCGUAUAAAAUAGCAGAUAGCUAAAGAAAGUUGUAAAGAAAAGGGGGUUUUGAUAAUGAAAUGAGAGUUUGCGGUUCACUUGAAAAUAGUGAUUAUACCGAUUUUUGACAAGGAUAGAGCAAUGAAGCGUGCAAUAAUAAUCAAUGGCAGAUUUCCUGAUAAGAAAUCUAUGUGGUGAAUACACAAUGAAGAAAAUUAAUAACGCUGCCAUUUGCCACGGAGCAACACGUUCCACUCGGUAGCACCGGGUUAGCUUUAAUUAACCCUUUGCCACGCAUGUCGUCAGCAAUUACGGCGAAAUUCCUUGGCAUCCUGGACGAAGGAUAUAAGUAAACAAAAUUUUCCAUGUAACAAUUCAUCUACAUUUAUGCAAUGUUUAAUUCAAUUUCAAAAAUUAUAUAAAAAUUCUGAUAGCGUAAAAAAGAUUAACUCAAGUUAUCUAAUACACACUCCAAUUAAAAUGAUAGAAAAAGUCUGAAGGAUAUAAGUAAACAGAAUUUUCCACGUAACAACUCAUCUACAUUUAUGCGACGUUCAAUUUCAAUUUCAAAAAUUAUAUUAUAAAAAUUCCGGUAAUGUAAAAGAGAUUAUCUCAAGUUAUCUAAUACACACUCCAAUUAAAAUGAUA